CUCAUGCUUUCCGAAAGGAUCUCCAAAAUUAAGGUGGCUAACAAGCUCCAACCCGUCAUCUGAUGCAUUUGAACCAUACAUACUGAUAGGGUGAGACUGAUUGGUUGUGUCCAACACAUUAACGAGGAUAGUUUGUUUACUUGCAAGCUGAUGUAGCAACUUCUCCACGAGUGACUCAACAUCGAAGACUCCACCAAGAUACCUGAUUGAGAAAUGAUGCUAUCAGAUUUCUUCUAACAACUUUUAACUGUUUUAUGCAUGCAUGCAUGUGCGUUUACAGAGAUGGGAAGCUUAAGGCGUUCAGCUUCCUACUAGUAUCUUGUAAAAUAAAGGGAACAUC
Molecule: long non-coding RNA, 340 nt
Organism: Hibiscus syriacus
Lineage: Eukaryota; Viridiplantae; Streptophyta; Magnoliopsida; Malvales; Malvaceae
Exons: 2
Source: RefSeq, a predicted model, not a curated record